UAUUCCAAAAGGCCACAUGCUUCAGAUUUUAGCAAAUGUAACUACAACUAUCUGUUCUGUGGGGGGAGUUUUAAAAGGUAACAUAGUAACAUGUUGUAUCUCCCCUUGUAGCUUGCCGAAUCCUUAUUUAAUCAAUGCCACUCAGAAAUGCAUAAGAACCACUCUGAUGUGCUGAUGGGCACAAUCUCAAUGCCACUCACAAAUGCAUAAGAACCAUUCCGAUGUGCUGAUGGG
This 234-nucleotide long non-coding RNA is filed under the name Hordeum vulgare. RNAcentral's name for it is "long non-coding RNA (HVUL_LNC013079)". The record is from RNAcentral. Lineage: Eukaryota; Viridiplantae; Streptophyta; Magnoliopsida; Poales; Poaceae.